This 66-nucleotide transfer RNA is filed under the name Leiopelma hochstetteri. RNAcentral's name for it is "tRNA-Ser". The record is from RNAcentral. Lineage: Eukaryota; Metazoa; Chordata; Amphibia; Anura; Leiopelmatidae.
GAGAAAGACAGGUGUUACAAGAACUGCUAAUUACUUGGUACCGUAGCUCAACUCCACGGCUUACUC